CUUGGAUGCUGUGAUUUUUAAUACUUGCACGUAUCUCAAGUUUAUCACAAAAAAAUCACAGAUUACUGCAAAUCCACUGAGGAAAAAAAACCAAGGAGGCAUCAGAAGCUAAUAUUGGUGACGAGAAGGAUAAAAGCAGAAACCCAGCAACAAAUACUUUGCCUGUUUGAGCGAGAGAUUUGAAACUUUCCCCAGCUUGGAAGAGGGUGCAGAGCAAUCAGAAAAUCUGCACAAGAAGAAAAUGAAGCCAGCACUUUCAUUGAGAAGUUUGGAGCAGGCCCUUCUUUGCACCUGCCAUCUCUGUGCAGACAGGUACUAAAAUUCACAUCUAACUGUGUCAGAAAUACUGCAUUCAGCUGUCACAGGCAUAGCUGCU
This 376-nucleotide long non-coding RNA is filed under the name Junco hyemalis (dark-eyed junco). RNAcentral describes it as "lncRNA (ENSJHYG00000004276.1)". Lineage: Eukaryota; Metazoa; Chordata; Aves; Passeriformes; Passerellidae. The record is from RNAcentral.